Molecule: ribosomal RNA, 377 nt
Filed under: uncultured Bacteroidales bacterium
Lineage: Bacteria; Pseudomonadati; Bacteroidota; Bacteroidia; Bacteroidales
Description: bacterial SSU rRNA
Rfam family: Bacterial small subunit ribosomal RNA
Source: RNAcentral
GCUCAGGAUGAACGCUAGCUACAGGCUUAACACAUGCAAGUCGAGGGGUAGCAGGGUAGCAAUACCGCUGACGACCGGCGCACGGGUGAGUAACACGUAUCCAACCUUCCCAUAACUCGGGGAUAGCCUUUCGAAAGAAAGAUUAAUACCCGAUAGUACUUUUUUAGGGCAUCUUAGAAAAGUUAAAGAUUUAUUGGUUAUGGAUGGGGAUGCGUUCCAUUGGAUAGUUGGUGAGGUAACGGCUCACCAAGUCUUCGAUGGAUAGGGGUUCUGAGAGGAAGGUCCCCCACAUUGGUACUGAGACACGGACCAAACUCCUACGGGAGGCAGCAGUGAGGAAUAUUGGUCAAUGGGCGAGAGCCUGAACCAGCCAAGUA